UCAGAAUCCCUUUAAGAAAAUAUUCCAAUGGAGAAGUAUUUUAAAUACACCAUGGUGUUAUGGAUACAGCUGGUGCUAGGCAACGUGAAGCAUGUAAGCAGUGAAGAUCUAUUUCACAGCUUCUUUCCUUAACAGGAGAAGGGAUGACAUUUUGUCGGUCUCGCCUCCCUGGAGAUUAAAAACCAAGCACCAGAGGAAGGCCAGGCAGCUGACAAAUAGGCUCUUCCCCUGCUGAGGAAAGGAAAACACAAGGCCCAUGGAAAGCUUUCCUCUUCACAAGCUGGAUGUAAAAGAUCCUGCAGAAGGCUCUGAGAUCUUAGAGUUGAUGGAAAGGAGCAGAAGGCCACCUGCUAAACACCCUCUUAGAACUAUUAUGGUUUCAAAUGAACAUCAUGACCAACCUGUAGAUGGAGAAGGAAGCCACUGAUCGAAUCAGGGAUGCCACAGCCCCCACUUUGGCAGCUUCCACUGACCCCUGGACUCGGUACUGCACUGUCUUCGAGUAGUUGACAU
Acinonyx jubatus (cheetah) is the source of this 513-nucleotide long non-coding RNA. RefSeq lists it as uncharacterized. The record is from RefSeq and is a predicted model, not a curated record. The transcript has 3 exons. Lineage: Eukaryota; Metazoa; Chordata; Mammalia; Carnivora; Felidae.